UAGGGAAUCUUCCGCAAUGGGCGAAAGCCUGACGGAGCAACGCCGCGUGAGUGAUGAAGGUCUUCGGAUCGUAAAACUCUGUUAUUAGGGAAGAACAAAUGUGUAAGUAACUAUGCACGUCUUGACGGUACCUAAUCAGAAAGCCACGGCUAACUACGUGCCAGCAGCCGCGGUAAUACGUAGGUGGCAAGCGUUAUCCGGAAUUAUUGGGCGUAAAGCGAGCGCAGGCGGUUAGAAAAGUCUGAAGUGAAAGGCAGUGGCUCAACCAUUGUAGGCUUUGGAAACUGUUUAACUUGAGUGCAGAAGGGGAGAGUGGAAUUCCAUGUGUAGCGGUGAAAUGCGUAGAUAUAUGGAGGAACACCGGUGGCGAAAGCGGCUCUCUGGUCUGUAACUGACGCUGAGGCUCGAAAGCGUGGGGAGCGAACAGG
RNAcentral lists this ribosomal RNA (428 nucleotides) under Bacteroidota bacterium. RNAcentral's name for it is "Bacteroidetes bacterium partial 16S ribosomal RNA". It matches the Rfam family "Bacterial small subunit ribosomal RNA", at positions 355 to 776 of the family's 1533-position model. Lineage: Bacteria; Pseudomonadati; Bacteroidota. The record is from RNAcentral.